This is a non-coding RNA of Tinamus guttatus (white-throated tinamou), 46 nucleotides long. Lineage: Eukaryota; Metazoa; Chordata; Aves; Tinamiformes; Tinamidae. The record is from Rfam.
AAAAGGGCUCUUUUUAGAGCUACAAACAGACAAAAAACAGAGGCUG